RNAcentral lists this ribosomal RNA (372 nucleotides) under uncultured organism. Its description in RNAcentral is "bacterial SSU rRNA". It matches the Rfam family "Bacterial small subunit ribosomal RNA", at positions 526 to 896 of the family's 1533-position model. The record is from RNAcentral.
CAGGGGGUGCAAGCGUUGUUCGGAAUUACUGGGCGUAAAGCGCGGGCAGGUGGCCCGCUAAGUCUGCGGUGAAAUCCCGGAGCUCAACUCCGGAUAUGCCGCGGAUACUGGCGGGCUAGAGACCAGUAGAGGCGAGUGGAAUUCCAGGUGUAGCGGUGGAAUGCGUAGAUAUCUGGAAGAACACCGGUGGCGAAGGCGGCUCGCUGGGCUGGUUCUGACACUCAUCCGCGAAAGCGUGGGGAGCAAACAGGAUUAGAUACCCUGGUAGUCCACGCCGUAAACGAUGGGCACUAGAUGCCGGGUCUAUAGACGGAUUCGGUGUCGCAGCUAACGCAUUAAGUGCCCCGCCUGGGGAGUACGGCCGCAAGGCUG